GUGUGACCCCACAGGUGUUGUUUGACCUUGGAUUCCAACAUGCGUGUCGUUUUUGUUGCCGCUAGAAUGAAGAAAGAUAUGAAGCCCCGAGUGUCUGCGCGGGGGGAUUAUAAAUCCUGUUGACGCAUGUCGCCAAGGCUGGGAAAGCUUCUCCACCAUGCCCUGUCAGAAAUACCACACUCACCGAUACAGACAAACUCUCUGUCCUCCCACAUGUUUGACUCGCUGUGUGUUGUGUCUCCACAGGCAGAGAUAGCGGCAGUGCCAGCAGGAUUAAAUUCACUGAGACGAGCCUGGUUCCAGACCAUAGACCCCGCCCACUCAACUGAGUAGGCUUGCAUCUCUGGUCUGGCAUACUGCAAUGAAUUUUCGAUUUGGAAGGACCAAUGAACGCCGGGGGUGGGGGCGGGUCUAGCGAUUAGCCAAUCAGCGCCACGCUGAUGUCAAGCUGUGCGCCAGUGGGUAACUGGUGAGGAUAGCAACAAUGGCGACCGCUACAGAUCCUACAGACCACAUUAACGAUGCUGUCGAGGUAUUUCGCCACUACUCGCGUUAAUGGAGGACCAAAUUAAGGAAGCUGCUCAACUGGAUUUAACGGCGAUGCAGCUGGGCGUGCACGACGACGGAGACAUUUUAAACGGGCAAUGCUCGCUUGUUUUCGGCACCCCCGAGGCAUGGAUACUAAUGACGUCAGAUUCUGGAUAUUGAAAGGGAAGAAGACUUCACCCCUCCUUCCCUUGUGGAACAAAAACACAGCGUGCAUGUUCUCUGUCGAGACAUUGAUUUAGUGCCAAGGGGACAGGAGCCGAGAGGUCAGGCUCUUUUAGGGACGUAUUGAGUGAAGGGACCGUCCUGUUCUGUCGGCUCUCAGAGCAUCAUGUACUCACACAAAGGCUCAAUGUUUGCAUCUUAUGCAUCCCUCUAAAUGCGUCCCACACUGUCAGGAGAGGAGCUAAAAAUAGCCCGGAUGAAAUGUUUCAAGGCCUUCGGGGUUGAGCGAGAGAAGCACAUUGGUCCUGCUGAGCGCUCACUGUUAAAGGUUUAAAGGUUUGUACUAUUUUUUCCAUGUAACAGGAAUAAUGUGAGGAACACUGUGUAGGACACGAAUAAGGACAACAAAAAGAACAACUUUACAGCUGAGGUGAGUGAAAACAACCAACCAGGAAAUCAUCCCGGGGUUCUUCAUCCCCAGCUAAUAACAAAUUGCAUUUUCAGAUUGAUUUCUUCCUUCCAGGCAUUAUUUUCUGUUAAUGUAACUUCAGCAUGAAAUUAAAUUUGAGACUUAAUUAAGUGAGGUAAUUCAUUUAAGUAAACAAUAUUCUGCUUUAGUUAUUUAUGCUUUUGUUGCACGGUAAUACAGCUGUGAGCAAGGACUGUUUCAAAAUAUCAUCAUUCUUAGUUUGUUCGAGGAGGCUUUGGUAUGUCAGGAGACAUUUCUUAAAAGAUCAAACCGCAAUGUGAAGAUAAUUAAAUCCUCCAUGAUGUGUUUAUACAAUAUAUAUUGAUAUAAAUGGCCGAAAUAAAUGACAAUAAAGGUUAGGUUUAGGCACAAAAACAACAUGGUUAUGGUUAGGAAAAGAUCAUGUUUUGGCUUUAGAUACCUGGUUUUGCUGCCACUAUCCUGGCAGGAAGUGCAACAAUGUCUCGGUGAAAAGGCAAUCACUUUUUGUAGCCCUGUCCUCCAUGGAAACAAAGCGACAGAGCCAGUGGUGUACGGAUAGGCCCCAGUGCAUUGGCUGCCCUCUCAGCUUUUGCAAAAUCACACAGUGUCUUCCAUUCCCUACAGUCGGCAGGGUGUCCAUCUUUCUUUAUGUAAACUUUUCUGCAGUCUUCUUUAGUAGUCUUUCAACUUCCUGGCAUUUUCCAACACAGUCUUUGUCUGUUAUGGUAAAAGUAAUCACCAACAAAUUUUCAUCCCUUGGUUUCUCAAGCCUCACAAUGUUUGCAGGAACAACACCAGGGCACUGUGUCUCCACUAAUACGUCUUCAACAUCAGCUGCAUCCUUUUCCUAGCGUUUCUCUCCUUUUUUCUCUGCCACCCCUGUGAAGAUACUCUCUCUCUGUCUUUGUUUUCCAGAUUUUCUAGUGCACGUUGCUGGUGGGCUACAGCUGUCUGUUGACACUGCUUCAGAAAGUUGUUGCUUGAAGAUCUCAUUUUGAACUUCCUCGUCAAGAGACUCUUGUUUGGAUUUCUCUCUGUGUGGGUGGACAUUCAGAAAAUCCAAAGCGUUUCCCAACUCAGACCUUAUUCUAUCUUUUUUCCAUGCAUGGGGAAUAUUGCCACUUGUCAAACCUUCUCCUCUCGUUGACAUGUUGCUUGUUCCAAUAAAAAAACAAAACUAAUCUUCCAAAAAAUGGCCGCGAAUGAUAGGUGAUUUCCUACAAAAAUGCUGUACACCAUCAAAUUAUCACUGAAUAGCAAACAUUAAGGCAGAUAUUUGUCGGAUUGGAGAACUGAAUGAGGGAAGAAUGGGCUGUCCGCCAUUCUCACUCUGACCUCUUCACAGGCAACUUGUCACAGUUGCCUGUUUCGACUCUGCCCAUCCCUGCUUUUACACAAAUAGACAAAAUUCAACAUAUUAAUACUUACAAAUAGCAGAAAAUUGGUAUAAAACUCAAUGGCAAUCACUAAUUAAUGACUUAUUUUUACACACACACUAAUAGACUAGCAAUGUACAGCAUCUGGCUUUAGUUAAGAGGCCUCUUCAACAGCAAAUGUACUGAUAAGUCUUUGUUGGAAAGGUAAACCAAUAAAUUUAUUAACUGCUGCCUUCCAUUUAGAUAUACCAGUUUCAGAGUGCUGUCCAUGCCUUAUACUUAAAUUAAAUGGGGCUACCCUCAAUGUAAUUAAUUCCACCUGCGCUUUUACUUCUAUGUCAAAACUUGGUCUAAUCAUUUGGUGGACUUCACAUUUAGUGGAUAUAUUAUCUGGAGUAAUUGACCCUGAGUUAAAUAAUAAGAAGGUUUCAUUGUGUUGUCCAAAGACACAUGACUGUGAUGGACAACCACUACUUGUUUCAGACACCGGGUCAUCUGUGCUCACUAACUAAACACUCAGUGUGGUAAAGACUUGAUGGUUUGUUACAGUCAGUAAUUGUAGGCAGACCUGACAUUGACAAAGUGCAGGGUCAUUCAUAUCUGACAUCAGGGAGUGGUGGCGGGGGUUAACGUUUACACUGUGGGUGCCCCGCCCCCCCUGCUGCCCAUCAAUUACAUCACCAUCUGAUUACAUCAUCUCCCACUGGGACUGGUGAGACAUCCCAGUGUCUCCUCAUGAUUGGCCCUCUGCGGUGGCGUCCUGUCCAUACCACAGCGCAAGAUGCUGUCAGAUAAACAGUGGAGCUAUUGUGAGACAGCAAAGACCUCACCCCCUGUUAUUGUCUGUCUGUCCAUCUCUCACUUUGUCCGCUAUAAUUCAACAGAACUGCGACGAGAGUUCAGUCAGAGUUAACGGCUUCACUUGCUCUGAGGCCGCCUUGAAAGCAGACAGUAAUCUCAAGACUGACUGAGGCAGUGAAAUACAAGUGUGGCCAAAGAAACUCAGCUUUGAUCGUGUGUCUCACAUAGUUUAAAGCCUGUUAUUACUCUGCAGGUAAGGUUUCACUCACUUAAGUGGGGUGUUACAUAAACUCAGAUCGACCCCUGAAGUGUUUCACAACGGCGAUGCACAGGUAAUCUGAGCAUGACUAAAAUCAUUAUCAGUGGUGCUGGUUUUUAUCAGUGCUUCUGAGUUUUGAAAGGUGUUUAGAUAUCAGUGUUGACAUUCUGAUGUUUAGCAGAUGUAAUCUUAAUCAUGACUAUCCUAAUUUAGUAUGUUCGUAUACUAACAGACAUGCUAGCACCUUUAGCAAGGUGUGGUGUGUUUAAUUUGCACUGAGAAGUCGGAAUGUCUGAGUUCUCAGUUGGCAAUUUCAACUGGAACUAGAAAAUCAGACAAACCUCAACAACCCCACCCUCAAAAUCCAAUAUGGCUGCCGUGAGUAUCAACAGUAAUGAAAGCUGUAAUCGAAACUCUGGCGCCGUAGCCCCCAUGUCAAGAAAAAAUGUU
Molecule: long non-coding RNA, 4048 nt
Organism: Epinephelus moara (kelp grouper)
Lineage: Eukaryota; Metazoa; Chordata; Actinopteri; Perciformes; Serranidae
Exons: 3
Source: RefSeq, a predicted model, not a curated record